GGGUACUCUCAUUUUUCUCCCACUAUGUUCAUCUAAAACAUAUAUCACAUGCCUCAGAAUGAUAAAUUGGAGGUUCAAAAGCCUUGCCAGAAAUUUUAACUUCAUCAUGGAAAUAGCUUUAAUAGAUUAAAUAGCCCCAUCAUGAAGAGGAUGGCAACCCAAAGAUGGAUAUCAUUUACGAGAUAAAGAAUUGAAGAAGCCUAAGGUGGAUAAUUGCAUAUCAAAA
This 226-nucleotide unclassified non-coding RNA is filed under the name Hevea brasiliensis (rubber tree). Lineage: Eukaryota; Viridiplantae; Streptophyta; Magnoliopsida; Malpighiales; Euphorbiaceae. The record is from RNAcentral.